RNAcentral lists this unclassified non-coding RNA (265 nucleotides) under Hevea brasiliensis (rubber tree). The record is from RNAcentral. Lineage: Eukaryota; Viridiplantae; Streptophyta; Magnoliopsida; Malpighiales; Euphorbiaceae.
GAGGACCCUGAACACGGCAACCGGAAGAGAGAGAGAGAGGGGCUCUACUCCAAACAGGCAUACGGUGUUCCCCCCUCCCCUUUUCUGUGUUUUGGCUGUGGUAAUGGUUACUAUAACAUCCCAGCAAUUAUUGAGGGGAAAAGAGAAAGAAGAAGUGAGAAAUUUGAAGUAAAGAAUGUCAAAUUUGGGCAACUUGGUUACGAAGUAUUGACUAUUGACCCUGUAGUCUUUACAUCUUCUUCGAGUGGAACACUCUAUUUUUGUA